CCUACGGGAGGCAGCAGUGGGGAAUAUUGGACAAUGGGGGGAACCCUGAUCCAGCCAUGCCGCGUGUGUGAAGAAGGCCCUCGGGUUGUAAAGCACUUUCAGUGAGGAAGAACGCCUGGUGGUUAAUACCCAUCAGGAAAGACAUCACUCACAGAAGAAGCACCGGCUAACUCCGUGCCAGCAGCCGCGGUAAUACGGAGGGUGCGAGCGUUAAUCGGAAUUACUGGGCGUAAAGCGCGCGUAGGUGGCUUGAUAAGCCGGUUGUGAAAGCCCCGGGCUCAACCUGGGAACGGCAUCCGGAACUGUCAAGCUAGAGUGCAGGAGAGGAAGGUAGAAUUCCCGGGGUAGCGGUGAAAUGCGUAGAGAUCGGGAGGAAUACCAGUGGCGAAGGCGGCCUUCUGGACUGACACUGACACUGAGGUGCGAAAGCGUGGGUAGCAAACAGGAUUAGAUACCCUAGUAGUC
This 465-nucleotide ribosomal RNA is filed under the name Vreelandella stevensii. RNAcentral's name for it is "partial 16S ribosomal RNA". It matches the Rfam family "Bacterial small subunit ribosomal RNA", at positions 338 to 795 of the family's 1533-position model. Lineage: Bacteria; Pseudomonadati; Pseudomonadota; Gammaproteobacteria; Oceanospirillales; Halomonadaceae. The record is from RNAcentral.